RNAcentral lists this ribosomal RNA (1053 nucleotides) under Lasiodiplodia sp. y24 SN-2013. RNAcentral's name for it is "eukaryotic LSU rRNA". The stretch from base 659 to 816 matches the Rfam family "5.8S ribosomal RNA". The record is from RNAcentral. Lineage: Eukaryota; Fungi; Ascomycota; Dothideomycetes; Botryosphaeriales; Botryosphaeriaceae.
AUGCGGGGGGAAAGAGCCUCCUGUUUGUUCUACAGCUGUCCUAUAUUUUUGACCCCCCUCUGCGCCUGUGGAGAAGUUCCUGUACGGGGGAAAACACACCCCCCCCGGAAGUGGGCCGAUAUAAAUUCGAGAAAAAAGGAGCCUCCGCAGUACUGCGGCAACGAAUUCGAAAGGAAGUUGAUGGUUGAAAGAUCUUCGAAGAGGUAUGCACACCUGAGUAUCCAGGGGCGUUUGUGCCUCAAAUAUUCGAUGAUUUUUGAAGGUGCGGUUUCUUUAGUGUCUUAUUUCGCUGCGUUCUUCCUCGAUGCAAGGACCAAGACAUCCGUGGUGGAAGUUUUAGUCAAGCGAGUUGUUGAUUGUACUCUGCCAUUAGUGAAUGAACCUUCGACGUUUUAUGUUGGGGGGGGUUCCCCCCCAAGCAACAAAAUGUUACGAUUCUCUUCUGGAUGGGGGAAAUUCAGAACCAAGUCGGGGAAAACGCAGUCAAAAUUAAAUUCAUCAAUUUCCCGAGGAAUGCUCAUUAUGAAGAUUUUCGGACUUCAGCUCGACUCUCCACAAAUAGUGAACGUACCUCUGUUGCUUUGGCGGCUCCGGCCGCCAAAGACCUCCAAACUCAUUCAUUCAACGCAGACGUCUGAUAAACAAGUUAAUAAACUAAAACUUUCAACAACGGAUCUCUUGGUUUCUGGCAUCGAUGAAGAACGCAGCGACAUCCGACAAGUCACGCGAAAUUGCAGAAAUUCAGUGAAUCAUCGAAUCUUUGAACGCACAUUGCGCCCUUGGUAUUCCGGGGGGGCAUGCCUGUUUCGAGCGUCAUUACACCCUCAUGCUCUGCUUGGGAAAUUGGGGCACCGUCCUCCUGGCGGAACGCGCCUCAAAGACCUCGGCGGUGGCUGUUUCAGCCCUCAGCGAAUGCAGAAAUACACCCUCGCUCUUGUAAGUGAUUGGGCGUCGCCCCGCCGCACCGAACUCCUGAACCUUUUCUCACGUGAACUUCGAUCAGUAGGAUACCGACGAACUAGCAAUCAGCACGCGGCGAGGAGAGAUAAGUAG